AUGGAGAAUGGCCGAUUCCCUGCAACGAGUGUACCAGUGACUUCGAAUUCCCCUGAGCUCUAUCAAGUCUCCAACAUAUCAGGUUCCGGGUAUAUUCACAUCAACCAUGCAAUGCAUGCGGUUAUUGAUAGACUGAAGAAUCAUGGUAUCCACUUCCGAGUAUUAACAAAAGCGUUACGUAUGUCUGAUGGAUAUCAUAUUCACUCUUGUACCGUAGUAGGUAAACUUGAGGGUGAAAGAGACAUAACUUUGGGCUUUGUUGAUUUAGUGCGUGAUGAUUUUGUUGAACAAGAUAGAAGUCGCUGUAUUUAUUUCUCUCAAGAUUGGAUGGGUCUCUUUACCAGGUGUUAUACCUGCGGCAUAGGAGGUAUUCACGUUUGGCAUAUGCCUACUCUGACGACAACUUUGGGGAUGAUUCUGUACUACAGUUCGGUGGAGGAACUUUAAAACAUCUUUGGGGUAAUGCGCCAGGUGCCUUAGCUAAUCGAGUAGCUCUGGAAGCAUGUAUAAAAGCUCGUAAUGAAGGACGUGAUCUUUCUCGAGAAGGUAAUGAGAUUAUUCGCGAGGCUUGCAAAUGGAGCCCGGAACUAGCUGUUGCUUAUGAGGUAUGGAAAGAGAUCGUAUUUAACUUUGCAGCAGUGGACGUGUUGGAUAAGUAAAAAUAGUAGACAUUAGCAGUUAAAUUA
RNA transcript from Solanum pennellii, 686 nucleotides. It is a transcript of the gene named ribulose bisphosphate carboxylase large chain-like, with no coding region annotated. The transcript is spliced from 3 exons. NCBI's taxonomy places the organism in Eukaryota, Viridiplantae, Streptophyta, Magnoliopsida, Solanales, Solanaceae. The record is from RefSeq and is a predicted model, not a curated record.